Molecule: non-coding RNA, 80 nt
Filed under: Pseudobacteroides cellulosolvens
Lineage: Bacteria; Bacillati; Bacillota; Clostridia; Eubacteriales; Oscillospiraceae
Also listed under: 1 other name
Description: ZTP sequence
Rfam family: ZMP/ZTP riboswitch aptamer (pfl RNA motif)
About the family: Previously known as pfl RNA. ZMP is also known as AICAR.
Source: RNAcentral
AGGAGAUCAUAUGACUGGCGGAAAUGGAGUUUACCAUAGGGAGUAUGAUUGAUAAAGAGCCGACCGCCUGGGUAACAGUU